UACGUAGGGUGCGAGCGUUGUCCGGAAUUACUGGGCGUAAAGAGCUCGUAGGUGGUUUGUCGCGUUGUUCGUGAAAACUCACAGCUUAACUGUGGGCGUGCGGGCGAUACGGGCAGACUGGAGUACUGCAGGGGAGACUGGAAUUCCUGGUGUAGCGGUGGAAUGCGCAGAUAUCAGGAGGAACACCGAUGGCGAAGGCAGGUCUCUGGGCAUUAACUGACGCUGAGGAGCGAAAGCAUGGGGAGCGAACAGG
Molecule: ribosomal RNA, 253 nt
Filed under: uncultured bacterium
Lineage: Bacteria
Description: partial 16S ribosomal RNA
Rfam family: Bacterial small subunit ribosomal RNA
Source: RNAcentral